GCGGGUAUCGCAUAGCGGUCGUGCACCGGCUUUCCAAGCCGAUUACAGGGGUUCGACUCCCCUUACCCGCU
Molecule: transfer RNA, 71 nt
Filed under: Patescibacteria group bacterium
Lineage: Bacteria
Also listed under: 1 other name
Description: tRNA-Gly
Rfam family: tRNA
About the family: Transfer RNA (tRNA) molecules are approximately 80 nucleotides in length.
Source: RNAcentral